GACAGCAAGCCGCGCUCCUCGCUGGAGUC
Molecule: small RNA, 29 nt
Filed under: Bombyx mori (domestic silkworm)
Lineage: Eukaryota; Metazoa; Arthropoda; Insecta; Lepidoptera; Bombycidae
Description: ovarian small RNA-5047
Source: RNAcentral